Molecule: transfer RNA, 72 nt
Filed under: Mustela putorius furo (domestic ferret)
Lineage: Eukaryota; Metazoa; Chordata; Mammalia; Carnivora; Mustelidae
Rfam family: tRNA
About the family: Transfer RNA (tRNA) molecules are approximately 80 nucleotides in length. Their secondary structure includes four short double-helical elements and three loops (D, anti-codon, and T loops).
Source: Rfam by way of RNAcentral
GCCUGGCUGGCUGAGUUGGUAUAGCAUGUGACUCUUGAUCUCAGGGUUGUGAGUUCGAGCCCCAUGUUGGCA